CCGCUCACCUCGGGGUGCGUCGCACAAGGGCGCUGAGAUCACACCCGUUGAACCUGAACCGGCUAACACCGGCGGAGGGAAGGUUAUGGAUAAGACC
This 97-nucleotide non-coding RNA is filed under the name Phaeobacter gallaeciensis. Its description in RNAcentral is "TPP sequence". It matches the Rfam family "TPP riboswitch aptamer (THI element)". From Rfam's summary of the family: Vitamin B(1) in its active form thiamin pyrophosphate (TPP) is an essential coenzyme that is synthesised by coupling of pyrimidine and thiazole moieties in bacteria. The previously detected thiamin-regulatory element, thi box was extended, resulting in a new, highly conserved RNA secondary structure, the THI element, which is widely distributed in eubacteria and also occurs in some archaea. Analysis of operon structures identified a large number of new candidate thiamin-regulated genes, mostly transporters, in various prokaryotic organisms. Lineage: Bacteria; Pseudomonadati; Pseudomonadota; Alphaproteobacteria; Rhodobacterales; Roseobacteraceae. The record is from Rfam by way of RNAcentral.